AGAGUUUGAUCAUGGCUCAGGACGAACGCUGGCGGCGUGCCUAAUACAUGCAAGUCGAACGGUCUUUUCUAUGGAAGCUUGCUUCCACUGAGAAGAUAGUGGCGAACGGGUGAGUAACACGUGGGUAACCUGCCCAUAAGAGGGGGAUAACAUCCGGAAACGGGUGCUAAUACCGCAUAGUUUUCUUGAUCGCAUGAUCGGGAAAGGAAAGACGGCCUUUGUGCUGUCGCUUAUGGAUGGACCCGCGGCGUAUUAGUUAGUUGGUGAGGUAACGGCUCACCAAGACGAUGAUACGUAGCCGACCUGAGAGGGUGAUCGGCCACAUUGGGACUGAGACACGGCACAAACUCCUACGGGAGGCAGCAGUAGGGAAUCUUCCGCAAUGGACGAAAGUCUGACGGAGCAACGCCGCGUGAGUGAAGAAGGUUUUCGGAUCGUAAAACUCUGUUGUCAGAGAAGAACAAGUUGGAGAGUAACUGCUCCAGCCUUGACGGUAUCUGACCAGAAAGCCACGGCUAACUACGUGCCAGCAGCCGCCGUAAUACGUAGGUGGCAAGCGUUGUCCGGAUUUAUUGGGCGUAAAGCGAGCGCAGGCGGUUCCUUAAGUCUGAUGUGAAAGCCCACGGCUCAACCGUGGAAGGUCAUUGGAAACUGGGGAACUUGAGUGCAGAAGAGGAGAGUGGAAUUCCAUGUGUAGCGGUGAAAUGCGUAGAUAUAUGGAGGAACACCAGUGGCGAAGGCGACUCUCUGGUCUGUAACUGACGCUGAGGCUCGAAAGCGUGGGGAUCAAACAGGAUUAGAUACCCUGGUAGUCC
RNAcentral lists this ribosomal RNA (815 nucleotides) under uncultured bacterium. Its description in RNAcentral is "bacterial SSU rRNA". It matches the Rfam family "Bacterial small subunit ribosomal RNA", at positions 8 to 796 of the family's 1533-position model. The record is from RNAcentral.